Molecule: ribosomal RNA, 667 nt
Filed under: Shouchella clausii
Lineage: Bacteria; Bacillati; Bacillota; Bacilli; Caryophanales; Bacillaceae
Description: bacterial LSU rRNA
Rfam family: Bacterial large subunit ribosomal RNA
Source: RNAcentral
AAGCUAUGGCAAUCCCGUAAGGGAUUGGGUAGGGGAGCGUUCCAAGGACAGCGAAGCUAGAUCGUGAGGACUAGUGGAGUGCUUGGAAGUGAGAAUGCCGGUAUGAGUAGCGAAAAGAUAGGUGAGAAUCCUAUCCGUCGAAAGCCCAAGGUUUCCUGAGGAAGGCUCGUCCGCUCAGGGUUAGUCGGGACCUAAGCCGAGGCCGAAAGGCGUAGGCGAUGGACAACAGGUUGAUAUUCCUGUACCACCUCGUAUUCGUUUGAACGAUGGGGGGACGCAGAAAGGUAGGGUGAGCGCGCCGCUGGCUGUGCGCGUCGAAGCAUGCGAGGCUGGAACAUAGGCAAAUCCGUGUUCCGUAAGGCUGAGCUGUGACCGUGAAGGACCUUCGGGUCCGAAAUCCCUGAUCCUCCGCUGCCGAGAAAAGCCUCUAGUGAGAAUACAGGUGCCCGUACCGCAAACCGACACAGGUAGGCGAGAAGAGAAUUCUAAGACGCUCGGGAGAACUCUCGUUAAGGAACUCGGCAAAAUGACCCCGUAACUUCGGGAGAAGGGGUGCUCUAGUAGGGUUAACCGCCCGAGAGAGCCGCAGUGAAAGGAUCCAAGCGACUGUUUAGCAAAAACACAGGUCUCUGCGAAGCCGUAAGGCGAAGUAUAGGGGCUGACACCU